GACGAACGCUGGCGGCGUGCCUAAUACAUGCAAGUAGAACGCACAGUUUAUACCGUAGCUUGCUACACCAUAGACUGUGAGUUGCGAACGGGUGAGUAACGCGUAGGUAACCUGCCUGGUAGCGGGGGAUACUAUUGGAAACGAUAGCUAAUACCGCAUAAUAUUAAUUAUUGCAUGAUAAUUAAUUGAAAGGUGCAAUUGCACCACUACCAGAUGGACCUGCGUUGUAUUAGCUAGUAGGUGAGGUAACGGCUCACCUAGGCGACGAUACAUAGCCGACCUGAGAGGGUGAUCGGCCACACUGGGACUGAGACACGGCCCAGACUCCUACGGGAGGCAGCAGUAGGGAAUCUUCGGCAAUGGACGAAAGUCUGACCGAGCAACGCCGCGUGAGUGAAGAAGGGUGUCGGAUCGUAAAGCUCUGUUGUAAGAGAAGAACGGGUGUGAGAGUGGAAAGUUCACACUGUGACGGUAUCUUACCAGAAAGGGACGGCUAACUACGUG
Molecule: ribosomal RNA, 504 nt
Filed under: uncultured bacterium
Lineage: Bacteria
Description: partial 16S ribosomal RNA
Rfam family: Bacterial small subunit ribosomal RNA
Source: RNAcentral